Molecule: ribosomal RNA, 401 nt
Filed under: uncultured bacterium
Lineage: Bacteria
Description: bacterial SSU rRNA
Rfam family: Bacterial small subunit ribosomal RNA
Source: RNAcentral
AGCGAACGUUAGCGGCGCGCCUAACACAUGCAAGUCGCACGAGAAAGGGAGCAAUCCCCGGUACAGUGGCGCACGGGUGAGUAACACGUAGAUGACCUUCCCUGGAGUGGUGGAUAACCUGCCGAAAGGCGGGCUAAUACAGCAUGGGACCACAUGGUUUUGACCGAGUGGUGAAAGCGGGCCUCUGUUCACAAGCUCGCGCUCUGGGAUGGGUCUGCGUCCCAUCAGCUAGUUGGUGAGGUAAUGGCUCACCAAGGCAUCGACGGGUAGCUGGUCUGAGAGGAUGACCAGCCACACUGGAACUGAGACACGGUCCAGACUCCUACGGGAGGCAGCAGUGGGGAAGUCUUGCGCAAUGGGCGAAAGCCUGACGCAGCGACGCCGCGUGGGUGAUGAAGGCC